GAAGAUCGAGGCCCGCCGGCCACCCAUGGUGGCUCUUGGUGGCGGUGAAACAGCACCCAUGGCGACGGUUGUUGGCGGUGGCAAGUGAGAAAAAUAAGGGAAAAUACGGACUGCCUUGUUUGAGAUGAAUCCAGUGACUCGUCGGCUUCAAUCCAAGCAUCGGUGACAAGGAGAAGCCCAGAAAAAGAAAGAGAAGGAAAGGAAAGGAAAGGAGGUUAUUGUGGUCCGAUGGAGCUAGCGGAGGUUUCAAGCGAUCUCUUCCCAAUGGCAACUCAAAAGAAGAAAAAUACAAAAAUCCCAAAGACCAAUGGUGAUUUCUCAAACAAUCAAGGUGGAGAUCCAAGGGAGGGGAAAGGGGAUUCUUAUAGACAGGUUUCCUAAGUUAAUCUAGACUCCUGCAGCCCCCAUUUCGAUGGAGAUAGGAGAGAAGAAGACCCCUAACUGGAGUCUUCCUCCUCAUCUCCUUCCAUGUGCCAUGC
Molecule: long non-coding RNA, 479 nt
Filed under: Elaeis guineensis (African oil palm)
Lineage: Eukaryota; Viridiplantae; Streptophyta; Magnoliopsida; Arecales; Arecaceae
Description: long non-coding RNA (EGUI_LNC003969)
Source: RNAcentral